GGCGGCACUAGCGCGGUGGUCCCACCUGACCCCAUGCCGAACUCAGAAGUGAAACGCCGUAGCGCCGAUGGUAGUGUGGGGUCUCCCCAUGCGAGAGUAGGGAACUGCCAGGCA
RNAcentral lists this ribosomal RNA (114 nucleotides) under Salmonella enterica subsp. enterica serovar Typhimurium str. DT104. RNAcentral also lists the same sequence under 1 other name. Lineage: Bacteria; Pseudomonadati; Pseudomonadota; Gammaproteobacteria; Enterobacterales; Enterobacteriaceae. The record is from RNAcentral.